UAGUCCACGCCGUAAACGAUGUCUACUAGCCGUUGGGAGACUUGAUUUCUUAGUGGCGCAGCUAACACACUAAGUAGACCGCCUGGGGAGUACGGCCGCAAGGUUAAAACUCAAAUGAAUUGACGGGGGCCCGCACAAGCGGUGGAGCAUGUGGUUUAAUUCGAUGCAACGCGAAGAACCUUACCGAGGCUCUAAUGUGAGCGCAAUUUUGUGAAAGCAGAAGUUCCUUCGGGACGCGAAACAAGGUGCUGCAUGGUUGUCGUCAGCUCGUGCCGUGAGGUGUUGGCUUAAGUGCCGCAACGAGCGCAACCCCUAUUGUUAGUUGCCAUCAUUAAGUUGGGGACUCUAGCAAGACUGCCGGCGUAAGCCGCGAGGAAGGUGGGGACGACGGUCAAAUCAUCAUGGCCUUUAUGCCUAGGGCGACACACGUGCUACAAUGGUGCAUACAGAGGGUAGCGAAGCUGCGAAGUGGAGCCAAUCUCAGAAAGUGCAUCCC
This 496-nucleotide ribosomal RNA is filed under the name uncultured bacterium. Its description in RNAcentral is "bacterial SSU rRNA". It matches the Rfam family "Bacterial small subunit ribosomal RNA", at positions 791 to 1289 of the family's 1533-position model. The record is from RNAcentral.